RNAcentral lists this ribosomal RNA (301 nucleotides) under uncultured bacterium. Its description in RNAcentral is "partial 16S ribosomal RNA". It matches the Rfam family "Bacterial small subunit ribosomal RNA", at positions 509 to 809 of the family's 1533-position model. The record is from RNAcentral.
CAGUCGCCGCGGUAAUACGAAGGGUGCAAGCGUUGAUCGGAAUUACUGGGCGUAAAGCGUGCGUAGGCGGUGAGUUAAGUCUGCUGUGAAAUCCCCGGGCUCAACCUGGGAAUGGCAGUGGAUACUGGCAAGCUAGAGUGUGUCAGAGGAUGGUGGAAUUCCCGGUGUAGCGGUGAAAUGCGUAGAGAUCGGGAGGAACAUCAGUGGCGAAGGCGGCCAUCUGGGACAACACUGACGCUGAGGCACGAAAGCGUGGGGAGCAAACAGGAUUAGAUACCCGUGUAGUCCCUGUCUCUUAUAA